RNAcentral lists this ribosomal RNA (504 nucleotides) under uncultured bacterium. RNAcentral describes it as "bacterial SSU rRNA". It matches the Rfam family "Bacterial small subunit ribosomal RNA", at positions 30 to 522 of the family's 1533-position model. The record is from RNAcentral.
AUUGAACGCUAGCGGCAUGCUUAACACAUGCAAGUCGAACGGUAACAGGCCUAGCUUGCUAGGUGCUGACGAGUGGCGGACGGGUGAGUAACGCGUAGGAAUCUACCUUGUAGAGGGGAAUAACUUGGGGAAACUCAAGCUAAUACCGCAUAAGCCCUAAGGGGGAAAGCAGGGGGACCGAAAGGCCUUGUGCUAUGAGAUGAGCCUGCGUCAGAUUAGCUAGUUGGUGGGGUAAAGGCCUACCAAGGCGACGAUCUGUAGCUGGUCUGAGAGGACGACCAGCCACACUGGGACUGAGACACGGCCCAGACUCCUACGGGAGGCAGCAGUGGGGAAUAUUGGACAAUGGGCGCAAGCCUGAUCCAGCAAUGCCGCGUGUGUGAAGAAGGCCUGCGGGUUGUAAAGCACUUUCAGUGGGGAGGAAGGCCUUAGUCUUAAUACGGCUAAGGAUUGACGUUACCCACAGAAGAAGCACCGGCUAACUCUGUGCCAGCAGCCGCGUAA